Molecule: ribosomal RNA, 406 nt
Filed under: uncultured bacterium
Lineage: Bacteria
Description: partial 16S ribosomal RNA
Rfam family: Bacterial small subunit ribosomal RNA
Source: RNAcentral
AUUGAACGCUGGCGGCAGGCCUAACACAUGCAAGUCGAACGAGUGGCGGACGGGUGAGUAAUGUCUGGGAAACUGCCUGAUGGAGGGGGAUAACUACUGGAAACGGUAGCUAAUACCGCAUACCAUCAGAUGUGCCCAGAGGGGCUUAGCUUGGUGGUGGGGUAACGGCUCACCAAGGCGACGAUCCCUAGCUGGUCUGAGAGGAUGACCAGCCACACUGGAACUGAGACACGUGCCAGAUGCGUAAGGGAGGCAGCUGUGGGGAAUAUUGCACAAUGGGCGCAAGCCUUAUGCAGCCAUGCCGCGUUUAUGAAGAAGGCCUUCGGGUUGUAAAGUACUUUCAGCGGGGCGGCGUUACCCGCAGAAGAAGCACCGGCUAACUCCGUGCCAGAAGCCGCGGUAAUAC